AGAGCGAACGCUGGCGGCAGGCCUAACACAUGCAAGUCGAGCGGCCGUAGCAAUACGGCAGCGGCAGACGGGAUAGUAACACGUGGGAACGCGCCCUUCGGUUCGGAAUAACUCAGGGAAACUUGAGCUAAUACCGGAUACGCCCUUACGGGGAAAGAUUUAUUGCCGAAGGAACGGCCCGCGUCCGAUUAGCUAGUUGGUGAGGUAAUGGCUCACCAAGGCUACGAUCGGUAGCUGGUCUGAGAGGAUGACCAGCAUCACUGGGACUGAGACACGGCCCAGACUCCUACGGGAGGCAGCAGUGGGGAAUAUUGGACAAUGGGCGCAAGCCUGAUCCAGCCAUGCCGCGUGGAUGAUGACGGCCUUAGGGUUGUAAAGUCCUUUUAACGGGGAAGAUAAUGACGGUACCCGUAGAAUAAGCCCCGGCUAACUUCGCGCCAGCAGCCGC
Molecule: ribosomal RNA, 448 nt
Filed under: uncultured bacterium
Lineage: Bacteria
Description: SSU rRNA
Rfam family: Bacterial small subunit ribosomal RNA
Source: RNAcentral